UACAGAGGGGGCAAGCGUUGUUCGGAAUUACUGGGCGUAAAGGGCGCGUAGGCGGCCUGUUAAGUCGAACGUGAAAUCCCCGGGCUCAACCCGGGAACUGCGUCCGAUACUGGCAGGCUUGAAUCCGGGAGAGGGAUGUGGAAUUCCAGGUGUAGCGGUGAAAUGCGUAGAUAUCCGGAGGAACACCGGUGGCGAAGGCGGCUUCCUGGACCGACACUGACGCUGAGGCGCGAAAGCUAGGGGAGCAAACGGG
This 253-nucleotide ribosomal RNA is filed under the name uncultured bacterium. RNAcentral describes it as "partial 16S ribosomal RNA". It matches the Rfam family "Bacterial small subunit ribosomal RNA", at positions 524 to 776 of the family's 1533-position model. The record is from RNAcentral.